GACGAACGCUGGCGGCGUGCCUAAUACAUGCCAGUCGAACGAACCGCGACUAGGUGCUUGCACUUGGUCAAGGUGAGUGGCGAACGGGUGAGUAACACGUGGGUAACCUACCUCAUAGUGGGGGAUAACAGUCGGAAACGACUGCUAAUACCGCAUAGGACAUAGGCUCACAUGAUCCAGUGAGGAAAGGUGGCGCAAGCUAUCGCUAAGAGAUGGACCCGCGGUGCAUUAGCUAGUUGGUAGGGUAAAGGCCUACCAAGGCGAUGAUGCAUAGCCGACCUGAGAGGGUGAUCGGCCACAUUGGGACUGAGACACGGCCCAAACUCCUACGGGAGGCAGCAGUAGGGAAUCUUCCGCAAUGGACGCAAGUCUGACGGAGCAACGCCGCGUGAGUGAAGAAGGUCUUCGGAUCGUAAAGCUCUGUUGUUAGAGAAGAACAGCGCAUAGAGUAACUGUUAUGCGUGUGACGGUAUCUAACCAGAAAGCCACGGCUAACUACGUG
This 502-nucleotide ribosomal RNA is filed under the name uncultured bacterium. Its description in RNAcentral is "partial 16S ribosomal RNA". It matches the Rfam family "Bacterial small subunit ribosomal RNA", at positions 28 to 507 of the family's 1533-position model. The record is from RNAcentral.